UACGUAGGGUGCAAGCGUUGUCCGGAAUUAUUGGGCGUAAAGAGCGUGUAGGCGGCCCGAUUAGUCCGCUGUGAAAGUCCAGGGCUCAACCCUGGAAUGCCGGUGGAUACUGUCGGGCUAGAGUCCGGAAGGGGCGAGUGGAAUUCCUGGUGUAGCGGUGGAAUGCGCAGAUAUCAGGAGGAACACCGAUAGCGAAGGCAGCUCGCUGGGACGGUACUGACGCUAAGGCGCGAAAGCGUGGGGAGCGAACAGG
RNAcentral lists this ribosomal RNA (253 nucleotides) under uncultured bacterium. RNAcentral's name for it is "partial 16S ribosomal RNA". It matches the Rfam family "Bacterial small subunit ribosomal RNA", at positions 524 to 776 of the family's 1533-position model. The record is from RNAcentral.